This 512-nucleotide ribosomal RNA is filed under the name uncultured bacterium. RNAcentral describes it as "bacterial SSU rRNA". It matches the Rfam family "Bacterial small subunit ribosomal RNA", at positions 31 to 518 of the family's 1533-position model. The record is from RNAcentral.
GAACGCUGGCGGCGUGCCUAAUACAUGCAAGUCGAACGGCUUUUCUAUGGAAGCUUGCUCACUGAAAGAUAGCGGCGAACGGGUGAGUAACAACGUGGGUAACCUGCCCAUAAGAGGGGGAUAACAUCCGGAAACGGGUGCUAAUACCGCAUAGUUUUCUUGAUCGCAUGAUCGGGAAAGGAAAGACGGCCUUUGUGCUGUCGCUUAUGGAUGGACCCGCGGCGUAUUAGUUAGUUGGUGAGGUAACGGCUCACCAAGACGAUGAUACGUAGCCGACCUGAGAGGGUGAUCGGCCACAUUGGGACUGAGACACGGCCCAAACUCCUACGGGAGGCAGCAGUAGGGAAUCUUCCGCAAUGGACGAAAGUCUGACGGAGCAACGCCGCGUGAGUGAAAGAAGGUUUUCGGAUCGUAAAACUCUGUUGUCAGAGAAGAACAAGUUGGAGAGUAACUGCUCCAGCCUUGACGGUAUCUGACCAGAAAGCCACGGCUAACUACGUGCCAGCCGCCGC